GUGCCUAUCCGUGAAGUGAGGCAAUCAGACUUUGGAGAUCAGGCAAGAAUCAAAAUGUACUUUCCCAGGAAGGGCUCUCAAUUUACACCUUCACAUCAUUCCCUUGAUUUUUAUUGGAAGGAUUAUUGCCCUAUGGUUUUCAGAUAUUUGAGAGAGUUGUUCAAGCUGGAUGCUGCAGACUAUAUGAUGUCCAUCUGUGGUGAUGAUGGUCUGAGAGAGCUUUCAUCUCCUGGAAAGAGUGGCAGCCUUUUUUAUCUUUCUCGUGAUGAUAGAUUUGUGAUCAAGACUUUAAAGAAGUCUGAGCUCAAGGCUCUGCUCAAGAUGCUUCCUGAUUACUAUAAACAUGUAAAGGAACAUGACAACACACUCAUAACAAAAGUUUUUGGGGUGCACAGGAUAUCAUUGAAACGUGGAAAAAAGGUCCGCUUUGUAGUCAUGGGGAAUAUGUUUUGUACUGAAUUAAGAAUACAUCGCCGGUAUGAUUUGAAAGGUUCUUCUCAUGGGAGACUUACGAAGAAGGAUCGGGUUGAUGAGACGACUACAUUAAAAGACCUCGAUUUAACAUAUGAGUUUCAUAUGGACAAGUUAUUACGUGAGGCACUAUUCAAACAAUUAUCUUUAGACUGCAGAUUUUUGGAAUCUCAGAACAUUAUAGACUAUAGCCUUCUACUGGGAUUACAUUUUAGAGCUCCUGAGAAUCUAAUGUCUCUUUUAGAGCCACCUGAUUCUCUGCACAAAGUCGAAACUGAUCCUGAUCACGUUGAAGGUGGGAUAUCUCAGGGGGAGCUCUCAAUUCCACCAAGAGGUUUGCUUUUAGUCACGCAUGAACCCAGUUCUGUCAAUGUUACACCAGGUCCUCAUAUAAGAGGGAGUACUCUGAGAGCCAUGUCCGUUGGUGACCAGGAGGUUGAUCUUCUUUUGCCUGGUACUGGAAGAUUAAGGGUACAAUUAGGUGUAAACAUGCCAGCCCAAGCAAACCAAAAAGUGAUGCAGGAUGAGGCAGCUUCAGUCCAAGUUGAACUCUUUGAGGUAUAUGAUGUUGUUCUAUAUCUCGGAAUAAUCGAUAUACUGCAAGAGUACAACAUGAAAAAGAAACUGGAGCACACCUACAAAUCGUUGAAAUUUGAUCCCAUGUCAAUCUCUGCAAUUGAACCCAAGAUUUAUUCGAAACGUUUCCUCAGUUUCUUGGAGAAAGUGUUCCCUGUUGAACCAUGAAAAGUCUUUAAUAUUUAUCUUGCAAAUAUUUUCCCUCUGUCCAGCUGGAUGGAAAAAAAAAAGAAGACCUUUUCAUGAUUCAUUGAAGAGCAAUUUUAUCACCACUCGAGUGUUCCAUUGUUAAUGUACCAUUUAGUUUAUUUGUACAGUUGACUCAAUACAACAGUUUUGUAGCCGAAAGGAUAUCUCCA
Molecule: unclassified non-coding RNA, 1406 nt
Filed under: Hevea brasiliensis (rubber tree)
Lineage: Eukaryota; Viridiplantae; Streptophyta; Magnoliopsida; Malpighiales; Euphorbiaceae
Source: RNAcentral